AUCGGAAUCUGCCCGGUUGUGGGGGAUAACGUAGGGAAACUUACGCUAAUACCGCAUACGAUCGAGAGAUGAAAGCGGGGGACCGUAAGGCCUCGCGCAGUCGGAUGAGCCGAUGUCGGAUUAGCUAGUUGGCGGGGUAAAAGCCCACCAAGGCGACGAUCCGUAGCUGGUCUGAGAGGAUGAUCAGCCACACUGGGACUGAGACACGGCCCAGACUCCUACGGGAGGCAGCAGUGGGGAAUAUUGGACAAUGGGGGCAACCCUGAUCCAGCAAUGCCGCGUGUGUGAAGAAGGCCUUCGGGUUGUAAAGCACUUUUAUCUGGAACGAAACACGCAGGGUGAAUAUCCCUGCGGACUGACGGUACCAGAGGAAUAAGCACCGGCUAACUUCGUGCCAGCAGCCGCGGUAAUACGAAGGGUGCAAGCGUUACUCGGAAUUACUGGGCGUAAAGCGUGCGUAGGUGGUUUCUUAAGUCUGCUGUGAAAGCCCCGGGCUCAACCUGGGAAUUGCAGUGGAUACUGGGAAGCUAGAGUGCGGUAGAGGGUAGUGGAAUUCCCGGUGUAGCGGUGAAAUGCGUAGAGAUCGGGAGGAACACCAGUGGCGAAGGCGGCUACCUGGACCAGCACUGACACUGAGC
This 638-nucleotide ribosomal RNA is filed under the name Rudaea sp. Its description in RNAcentral is "bacterial SSU rRNA". It matches the Rfam family "Bacterial small subunit ribosomal RNA", at positions 117 to 752 of the family's 1533-position model. The record is from RNAcentral. Lineage: Bacteria; Pseudomonadati; Pseudomonadota; Gammaproteobacteria; Lysobacterales; Rhodanobacteraceae.